RNAcentral lists this transfer RNA (65 nucleotides) under Euastacus spinifer. RNAcentral describes it as "tRNA-Ser". The record is from RNAcentral. Lineage: Eukaryota; Metazoa; Arthropoda; Malacostraca; Decapoda; Parastacidae.
GGUAAUUUAGUUUAUAAAAAACAAAUGUUUUGAAAGCAUUAAUUAGAUCUAAGAUCUAAUUACCU